UAAGUCAGCCACGAAUAGGCUAUCCCAACUAACGGCGGGAAAGACUCCACGGAGGGUGUAAGACCCGUGUGGGCGCGUGUUAAAGCUGUGUGGGCUCGGCCUCCAUUCCCUGAGAGUCGCGUUGCUUGAGCAUGCAGCGCUAAGCAGGUCGUAAACUCGAUCUAAGGCUAAAUAUUUCCACAGAACCGAUAGCGAACAAGUACCGUGAGGGAAAGUUGAAAAGCACUCUGGAGAGAGAGUCAAAAGACCGUGAAACCGCUCAGAGUAUAAGCCCAUGGCAGCUUGGAAGGCAUAUCGCUAGCGGGGCAUCGGUCUCCCUUCGCGGGGAGCUGGUGUUACCUUGCUUCUGUUGUGGCUCGUCAUGGUAGGGGGGUCAGGUCCACAUCCCGCCGUCGUGUGGAGAGUUCUUGGGUGUGUUGUGGUUUCUCGGUUGGCUUCGGCUUUCCGGGGGGCUCUUCGUACUUGGUUCUCUUUUAGACACGGACGUUCAGACUCAGUUGCAAGACGCGAUAACCAGCCCACCACGGCACGUUGUGAGGUCACCCACAGGCUCGACUUUCGAUCGUGAGCCUUGACGCCGAGCAAGCACAAUGCGUGUCGCAGAUGUUCCUAACCAGGCAAUGGUGCCAGGAUCGUGGAACGACACGCGCUCAACAGUCAGGUUCGGGCGGAGACAGAGUUCUGGUAUGAUCCUCUUGCGACGAGCCGGCUUCUGGCCGACAUCCGAUGCUCAGGUCUCCCGCAUGUGCCGCGGGAGAUCGCUUUGACGGUCUGGA
This 776-nucleotide ribosomal RNA is filed under the name Gammarus parechiniformis. RNAcentral describes it as "eukaryotic LSU rRNA". It matches the Rfam family "Eukaryotic large subunit ribosomal RNA", at positions 157 to 623 of the family's 3401-position model. The record is from RNAcentral. Lineage: Eukaryota; Metazoa; Arthropoda; Malacostraca; Amphipoda; Gammaridae. RNAcentral also lists the same sequence under 1 other name.